GUGGGCGAAAUAGCGUUUAUGGUGAAGUAAAUGGAACCGCUGGAAUCCAAACCCCACUGUCUAUACUAAAGGUGAUUUAAAACAGAUUCAUCUUGAGGAUAAAUGAGGCUCUCUGAAACAAGAUGCAAUACUAAUCAAAAGAUAUCGACAGGAGUGUCAGAGGCACCUUACCCCAUGCCGGAUAAUUUUGCAGAAGCCAUGGUACCAGCCAACAUCUGUGACCCCGUAGGUAUUCCCCUUCUCUGAGUGGACUGACCCAGGCCUUUUCCCAACAAAGAUAGACCUUGUGGAAGAUGAAGUCUAGUACUAGCUACUAAAAGACUCUUCGGCAAUGCUGGAGAUACAAAGGGAAGAGAAGGCAUGGAUUUGCAGUCUCGCUGGGAAGGAAAGAAGUAGGCGAAUGAAAAAAGGAAGACAUUGGACCACUGAAGCUAGGCUGACACCGGGAUGUCAUAGCAUACAAUUUCCCCCUACUAAUCCUAUUUCUAACUUCAUUUAUUUAUCCUCCCCCAUUUGCAUUCUGUUGGAUUUACUCACUUAUUUUAAUCUUAUAGAACAAUUUACAUACAUUUUAAUAAAUCAAGUUCUUUUUGGAAUGAGGUGGAGUAUCCAUAAAUACACCCAGAAAAAAGAAAAUAGUUAUGCCUAAGACAAAUUUCACGCCAGGUACAUUUAUGUUCAAAAUUUUCUGGAGGUUUUGAGUUUAUGUAGACAGCUUUCAUGUUCUUCAGGUGCCCAAGUAAAGAAUUCGUAUACUUCCAGAGAGUUUUAUAGUCAAGGUGGACCAUAGGGCUUCUCUGGUGGCUUAGUGGUUAAGAAUCCACCUGCCAAUGCAGGGGACACGGGUUUGAGCCCUGGUCCUGGAAGAUCCCACACGCCACGGAGCAACUAAGCCUGUGCGCCACAACUGCUGAGCCUGCACUCUAGAGCCUGCAAGCCACAACUACUGAGCACGUGAGCCACAGCUACUGAAGCCCAUGCCUAGAGCCCGUGCUCCACAACAAGGGAAGCCACCACAAUGAGAAGCCUGCACACUGCAACAAACAGCAGCCCCUGCUCGUUGCAACAAGAGAAAGCCCAUGCGCAUCAACGAAGACCCAAUGCAGCCCAAAAUAAAUAAGUUAAAUAAAUAAAUUUUUAAAAAAGAUGGACCAUAAAUAUAUCUAGUUUAUUUUUUAGAAUAUUUUCAUUUACUCUUGUUUGCAUAUAUGCAUAUAAAAUAAGAAUAAUUUUUCCCAUUUCAUAUUAUGAAAAUAAUACAAGCUCAUGUUAAAAAAUUUCACAAAGCAUAUAAGUUGAAAUUAAGUCUUUUUCCCUCGUUAGUUCUCUAAAUUUUACUCCCUUUUGUGUAACAUUAUAGACUUUUCUAUGUACUUAUAAGGAUAUAUAUGUAUCUAUGUACUUUGAUGUUACCUCAAUGGAUUAUACUCUUCUGUGAAGUAGGCUUUUGUCAGUUGACAAAAUAUGGAAACUUUUUUCAGGGCAGUAUAAAUAGAUCUCUUUUAUUCUUAUUAAACUGGUUUAUUAUUCCAUUGUAUGAAUACUUCAUACUUUAUUUGACUAGUCUCCUAAUAGCGGGCACUUAGGACUCUUUCCCCUUUUACGCAAGCAAACGUUGCUGCCAAAAAUGUCCUUGUUCGUAUAAUUUUUUACACAUCUGUAGGAAAAUUACAUAUCUGGAAAUAUAGUUGCUGGAUAUGUGCAUUAAAAUUUGUGAUAGCGAUUGCCAAAUGGCUCUCUGAAAUAGUAUUCUCCAAAAAACAUUGUUUUAUUCCCUCAUCCCAAACAAGACUAGAUAUAAUCAAACUUUUUUCUUAUAUGCAAAAAUGACUUUUAUGUCUGUUUUAAUAUGAAUCUUAUUAUGAAUGAGUUUAAGCCCCUUCAUUUAUUAACUGCCUCUCUGGGUUUCUUUUUCCGGUCUAUAGCUUUUGGAUCUCUGCACAUUUUUCCCUCACUGGAUUGUUCAGAUUUUUCUUAUUAUAAAAAAUAUUCUUUAUAUUAA
Long non-coding RNA from Physeter macrocephalus (sperm whale), 2002 nucleotides. RefSeq lists it as uncharacterized. The record is from RefSeq and is a predicted model, not a curated record. NCBI's taxonomy places the organism in Eukaryota, Metazoa, Chordata, Mammalia, Artiodactyla, Physeteridae. The transcript has 5 exons.